AUUGAUCCUUCGGGUGAAGUGAGGCACUCCCAUAAGGGGCGAACUGGUGAGUAACACGUAAGAAACCUGCCCCUUAGAGGGGGAUAACAUUUGGAAACAGAUGCUAAUACCGCGUAACAACAAAUCACACAUGUGAUCUGUUUGAAAGGUCCUUUUGGAUCGCUAGAGGAUGGUCUUGCGGCGUAUUAGCUUGUUGGUAGGGUAGAAGCCUACCAAGGCAAUGAUGCGUAGCCGAGUUGAGAGACUGGCCGGCCACAUUGGGACUGAGACACUGCCCAAACUCAUACGGGAGGCUGCAGUAGGGAAUUUUCCGCAAUGCACGAAAGUGUGACGGAGCGACGCCGCGUGUGUGAUGAAGGCUUUCGGGUCGUAAAGCACUGUUGUAAGGGAAGAAUAACUGAAUUCAGAGAAAGUUUUCAGCUUGACGGUACCUUACCAGAAAGGGAUGGCUAAAUACGUGCCAGCAGCCGCGGUAAUACGUAUGUCCCGAGCGUUAUCCGGAUUUAUUGGGCGUAAAGCGAGCGCAGACGGUUUAUUAAGUCUGAUGUGAAAUCCCGAGGCCCAACCUCGGAACUGCAUUGGAAACUGAUUUACUUGAGUGCGAUAGAGGCAAGUGGAACUCCAUGUGUAGCGGUGAAAUGCGUAGAUAUGUGGAAGAACACCAGUGGCGAAAGCGGCUUGCUAGAUCGUAACUGACGUUGAGGCUCGAAAGUAUGGGUAGCAAACGGGAUUAGAUACCCCGGUAGUCCAUACCGUAAACGAAGGGUGCUAGUUGUUAAGAGGUUUCCGCCUCCUAGGGACGUAGCAAACGCAUUUAAGCACCCCGCCUGAAGAGUACGGCCCCAAGGUUAAAACUUUAAAGGAAUUUGACGGGGGACCCCGCAUAAGCGGUUGAACCAUGUUGUUUUAAUUCCAAAGAUACCCGAAAAACCUUUACCCAGGCCUUGACAUACCAAAUGAACCGCUUUUUGUAAAUGAAAAGCCUUUCUUCGGAAAAAUU
Molecule: ribosomal RNA, 1000 nt
Filed under: Oenococcus oeni
Lineage: Bacteria; Bacillati; Bacillota; Bacilli; Lactobacillales; Lactobacillaceae
Description: bacterial SSU rRNA
Rfam family: Bacterial small subunit ribosomal RNA
Source: RNAcentral